RNAcentral lists this ribosomal RNA (801 nucleotides) under uncultured bacterium. Its description in RNAcentral is "bacterial SSU rRNA". It matches the Rfam family "Bacterial small subunit ribosomal RNA", at positions 60 to 834 of the family's 1533-position model. The record is from RNAcentral.
AGUUCUCGUUGAUGAUCGGUGCUUGCACCGAGAUUCAACAUGGAACGAGUGGCGGACGGGUGAGUAACACGUGGGUAACCUGCCCUUAAGUGGGGGAUAACAUUUGGAAACAGAUGCUAAUACCGCAUAGAUCCAAGAACCGCAUGGUUCUUGGCUGAAAGAUGGCGUAAGCUAUCGCUUUUGGAUGGACCCGCGGCGUAUUAGCUAGUUGGUGAGGUAACGGCUCACCAAGGCGAUGAUACGUAGCCGAACUGAGAGGUUGAUCGGCCACAUUGGGACUGAGACACGGCCCAAACUCCUACGGGAGGCAGCAGUAGGGAAUCUUCCACAAUGGACGCAAGUCUGAUGGAGCAACGCCGCGUGAGUGAAGAAGGCUUUCGGGUCGUAAAACUCUGUUGUUGGAGAAGAAUGGUCGGCAGAGUAACUGUUGUCGGCGUGACGGUAUCCAACCAGAAAGCCACGGCUAACUACGUGCCAGCAGCCGCGGUAAUACGUAGGUGGCAAGCGUUAUCCGGAUUUAUUGGGCGUAAAGCGAGCGCAGGCGGUUUUUUAAGUCUGAUGUGAAAGCCCUCGGCUUAACCGAGGAAGCGCAUCGGAAACUGGGAAACUUGAGUGCAGAAGAGGACAGUGGAACUCCAUGUGUAGCGGUGAAAUGCGUAGAUAUAUGGAAGAACACCAGUGGCGAAGGCGGCUGUCUGGUCUGUAACUGACGCUGAGGCUCGAAAGCAUGGGUAGCGAACAGGAUUAGAUACCCUGGUAGUCCAUGCCGUAAACGAUGAAUGCUAGGUGUUGGAGGGUUUC